GCAUUCAGGGUCGCGUGCAUUUUCCCAGUUGGAAACUGAUUUUUUCCGAUUAGUCCGACCCCACGUGAACUAUCACCAGCGUUGUUGUGGCUAACUUGUUAGCAAACAUGAAGCCAACACAAACAAACAAACAACAUCCACUCAUUCAGCGAGAGGAACAGCUCUUCAUCCACACGGCGAAAAGAGUUUUGGAGACCCUGAAAAUACCGUCAGAAAAACAAAGGGCCCUGAGUGUGUGCUGCAGACGAUCGGUCAAGAUUUCCAGCUCUUGGGUCAGCUUGUAUUCCUCACGAAACUGCUCACCCAGCAGCACCAGGUCACGCGUGGCGUCAUGUAGCGGAAUGUCACUCAGAACGAAGACGGUGUUGAUGUGGGAGAGGAUGCCAUGAAAGCUGAAGUCAAUGUGAGGACGGACCAAAGAAAAAACAGAAGGGAGGAUACAGCCAUCCAGGUCCUCAUAGAACGCCUCUUCCUCUGAGUCCUUCUCCUCAAUCAGAAACUUGAUGUGGUCGCA
Plectropomus leopardus (leopard coralgrouper) is the source of this 514-nucleotide non-coding RNA. The record is from RefSeq and is a predicted model, not a curated record. NCBI's taxonomy places the organism in Eukaryota, Metazoa, Chordata, Actinopteri, Perciformes, Serranidae.